UAAAAGGCUUAGAAGGUGCAUAGUAGGUGACCUUGCGGUUUAACAGAGAUGAUAUGUCAUUGGCUGAGAACAUAUUUUAUACUAUGGAAGCUGAAUUUUCACACCGGAGUCGUAUCUUUGAAGUACGUUGUAUGUGUAGGAGAUAACGUUGAUGCGCGUUAAGCAUAUAAGAGCGUCUGCAUAGCAGGAACUAUGGGUGGUACCGCGGAAAUUUUUCGUCCCAGUU
Molecule: non-coding RNA, 226 nt
Filed under: Eshraghiella crossota
Lineage: Bacteria; Bacillati; Bacillota; Clostridia; Lachnospirales; Lachnospiraceae
Description: Butyrivibrio crossotus T-box sequence
Rfam family: T-box leader
About the family: Uncharged tRNA acts as the effector for transcription antitermination of genes in the T-box leader family. T-boxes are found upstream of many aminoacyl-tRNA synthetase genes and some amino acid biosynthetic genes usually in Gram-positive bacteria. The anticodon of a specific tRNA base pairs to a specifier sequence within the T-box motif, and the NCCA acceptor tail of the tRNA base pairs to a conserved bulge in the T-box antiterminator hairpin.
Source: RNAcentral